RNAcentral lists this ribosomal RNA (429 nucleotides) under Bacteroidota bacterium. RNAcentral describes it as "Bacteroidetes bacterium partial 16S ribosomal RNA". It matches the Rfam family "Bacterial small subunit ribosomal RNA", at positions 355 to 776 of the family's 1533-position model. Lineage: Bacteria; Pseudomonadati; Bacteroidota. The record is from RNAcentral.
UAGGGAAUCUUCCGCAAUGGACGCAAGUCUGACGGAGCAACGCCGCGUGAGUGAAGAAGGAUUUCGGUUCGUAAAACUCUGUUGUUAGAGAAGAACAGCGCAUAGAGUAACUGUUAUGCGUGUGACGGUAUCUAACCAGAAAGCCACGGCUAACUACGUGCCAGCAGCCGCGGUAAUACGUAGGUGGCAAGCGUUGUCCGGAUUUAUUGGGCGUAAAGCGAGCGCAGGCGGUCAAUUAAGUCUGAUGUGAAAGCCCCCGGCUCAACCGGGGAGGGUCAUUGGAAACUGGUUGACUUGAGUGCAGAAGAGGAGAGUGGAAUUCCAUGUGUAGCGAUGAAAUGCGUAGAUAUAUGGAGGAACACCAGUGGCGAAGGCGACUCUCUGGUCUGUAACUGACGCUGAGGCUCGAAAGCGUGGGUAGCAAACAGG